This 460-nucleotide ribosomal RNA is filed under the name uncultured bacterium. RNAcentral describes it as "partial 16S ribosomal RNA". It matches the Rfam family "Bacterial small subunit ribosomal RNA", at positions 338 to 795 of the family's 1533-position model. The record is from RNAcentral.
CCUACGGGUGGCAGCAGUGAGGAAUAUUGGUCAAUGGACGCGAGUCUGAACCAGCCAAGUAGCGUGAAGGAUGACUGCCCUAUGGGUUGUAAACUUCUUUUAUAUGGGAAUAAAAUGAUCCACGUGUGGGAUUUUGUAUGUACCAUAUGAAUAAGGAUCGGCUAACUCCGUGCCAGCAGCCGCGGUAAUACGGAGGAUCCGAGCGUUAUCCGGAUUUAUUGGGUUUAAAGGGAGCGUAGGUGGAUUGUUAAGUCAGUUGUGAAAGUUUGCGGCUCAACCGUAAAAUUGCAGUUGAAACUGGCAGUCUUGAGUACAGUAGAGGUGGGCGGAAUUCGUGGUGUAGCGGUGAAAUGCUUAGAUAUCACGAAGAACUCCGAUUGCGAAGGCAGUUCACUGGACUGCAACUGACACUGAUGCUCGAAAGUGUGGGUAUCAAACAGGAUUAGAUACCCGGGUAGUC